CCCCGAAGACCCUGCCCCCGGGCCUAGUAGUCACCUCACCUCCGCGCUUGGUUCUGCCUCCUGCCCCCGCUCUGAGUGGAUCUCAGGCUCAGCCGCACCCUCGCGCGAGGAACUACCAUUUCUCUGCCAUUAGGGGUUCAGAGAGUCUGAUGCCCGAACCCCGCAGUCAGUCUCCUCCGGCUGCAAGUCGCAGGCGGAAGUGACGUCAUGGCUCGCUUCCGUCUUUUCCGGUGCUGACUCCUGGCAGCUGGGUUCCUUUUCACCUUAGUGGCCCUGGGGCUUCCUACGCCUUCAGGGCUGGGUGCGGGGCCGACCGGCGCUGGAAGGGGGCAGUGAAAGUACGCGUUUGACCCGGGACGCCGAGGAGCCUCUCGGGAGACACCUGGCUUGCCCCGCCCGCGCCUCCUCCCGGGCUACCGGGUCUGCGAGGCCGCUCGGGCUGUCAGGAGCCACGUCGCGACUGCUGACUUAUUUUCUAGGGACCCCAUUUGCCUUCAUGAAGAAAAGACAGAGGCAGAAAGGAUGGUGGUUGAUAGCCUGACAAAUUGUUACCAGGUAGGAAGAAUGUACUAUCCUCCCAAAUGGCAUACUUCCUUGCUCCAAGAAGAUAUUUUCAUCUAGAUGUUCUUGUCUGCAAGGAUUCUUAAAGCAUAUAAAGUCUCCCUGAAGGACUGAGUCCAAGUUGAAUUUCUCCUGAGAAUGCAGCCUCUUAUAUUGGGGAACAAUUAUCCUGAAAAUCAUCCUGGGAUUUC
Molecule: long non-coding RNA, 752 nt
Filed under: Ictidomys tridecemlineatus (thirteen-lined ground squirrel)
Lineage: Eukaryota; Metazoa; Chordata; Mammalia; Rodentia; Sciuridae
Description: lncRNA (ENSSTOG00000030667.1)
Source: RNAcentral